This 87-nucleotide transfer RNA is filed under the name Ktedonobacteraceae bacterium. Its description in RNAcentral is "tRNA-Ser". It matches the Rfam family "tRNA". Rfam says of the family: Transfer RNA (tRNA) molecules are approximately 80 nucleotides in length. Their secondary structure includes four short double-helical elements and three loops (D, anti-codon, and T loops). Lineage: Bacteria; Bacillati; Chloroflexota; Ktedonobacteria; Ktedonobacterales; Ktedonobacteraceae. The record is from RNAcentral.
GGAAGGAUGACGGAGUGGUCUAUCGUGGCUGUCUUGAAAACAGCUGGGCCAAAAGCCCCGGGGGUUCGAAUCCCUCUCCUUCCGCCA